RNAcentral lists this transfer RNA (87 nucleotides) under Candidatus Dojkabacteria bacterium. Its description in RNAcentral is "tRNA-Leu". It matches the Rfam family "tRNA". From Rfam's summary of the family: Transfer RNA (tRNA) molecules are approximately 80 nucleotides in length. Their secondary structure includes four short double-helical elements and three loops (D, anti-codon, and T loops). Further hydrogen bonds mediate the characteristic L-shaped molecular structure. tRNAs have two regions of fundamental functional importance: the anti-codon, which is responsible for specific mRNA codon recognition, and the 3' end, to which the tRNAs corresponding amino acid is attached (by aminoacyl-tRNA synthetases). tRNAs cope with the degeneracy of the genetic code in two manners: having more than one tRNA (with a specific anti-codon) for a particular amino acid; and 'wobble' base-pairing, i.e. permitting non-standard base-pairing at the 3rd anti-codon position. The record is from RNAcentral.
GCCGACGUGGCGAAAUUGGUAGACGCGCUGGUCUUAGGAACCAGUGGGAGUAAUCCCUUGAAGGUUCGAUUCCUUUCGUCGGCACCA